Molecule: long non-coding RNA, 1185 nt
Filed under: Oryzias javanicus (javanese ricefish)
Lineage: Eukaryota; Metazoa; Chordata; Actinopteri; Beloniformes; Adrianichthyidae
Description: lncRNA (ENSOJAG00000008447.1)
Source: RNAcentral
ACCGACCCAGAUCUGAUUGUGGUUCAGGUCCAACUGAACCGGACUCCACCUCUCCACCUGUCCUCUUACUCCUCCUCUUCCUCCUGUCCUCCUGCUUUCCUCCUUCUCUCCUCCCGUCCUCUCCUGGUUUCUCCGCCUCUCCCCCUCUCCUCCACCUGCUCUCCUCCUGUCCUCGUUCUCCUCUCCUCCUGUUUUCCUCCUGCUCCCCUCCUGUCCUCCUCUCCUCCACCUGUUCUCCCCCUGUCGUCCUCCUCCUCCUCCUCUCCACCUGCUCUCCUCCCUCUCUCCCCCUGUCCUCUUCCUGCUCUCCUCCUGUCCUCCUCUCCCCCUGUCCUCCUCCUCUCCCCCUCUCCUCAACCUGCUCUCCUCCCUCUCUCCUCCUGCUCUCCUCCUCUUCUCCUCCUGUUUUCCACCUGUCCUCCUCCUCUCCCCCUGUCCUCCUCCUCUUCUCCUCCUCCUGUCCUCCUCUUCUCCUCCUCCUCCUCUCCUGGCCUCCUCUCCUCCACCUGUUCUCCCCCUGUCCUCCUCCUCUCCCCCUCUCCUCAACCUGCUCUCCUCCCUCUCUCCUCCUGCUCUCCUCCUCUUCUCCUCCUGUUUUCCACCUGUCCUCCUCCUCUCCCCCUGUCCUCCUCCUCUUCUCGUCCUCCUGUCCUCCUCUUCUCCUCCUCCUCCUCUCCUUGCCUCCUCUCCUCCACCUGUUCUCCCCCUGUCCUCCUCCUCUUCUCCUCCUCCUCCUCUCCUCCUGUCCUCUCCUGGUUUCUCCGCCUCUCCCCCUCUCCUCCUCUUGCUCUCCACCUGUUCUCCUCCUGUCCUCCUGCUCUCCUCUUCUCCUCCUCCUGUUUUCCUCCUUCUCUCCUCCACCUGUCCUCCUCCUCUCCUCCUCCUCCUCUUCUCCUCCUGUCCUCUCCUGGUUUCUCCCCCUCUCCUCCUGUUCUCCUCUUCUCCUCCUCCUCCUCCUCUCCUCCUGUCCUCUCCCGGUUUCUGCGCCUCCUGCCGUUCAUCCGGUCGGUCUCCGUGCCAACAGGAAGCGGAUCAGUCGCCGUCUCCGGCCGCAGCAUAUGCUGCAGCGCCGCGGCAUCAUCAGAGACUCUGCAGGGCGGCGGUGAAGGUCACAUGAGUUACAGCCUUUCGUCUGAUUGGCUGAGAGUCCGUCACGUGAUCAGAGCAGCAGCUGAAGGUGUUUGA